Long non-coding RNA from Oreochromis niloticus (Nile tilapia), 1110 nucleotides. RefSeq lists it as uncharacterized. The record is from RefSeq and is a predicted model, not a curated record. Lineage: Eukaryota; Metazoa; Chordata; Actinopteri; Cichliformes; Cichlidae. The transcript is spliced from 2 exons.
UCAAAUGACUCACAGAAAGAACCACUUUCCGUUCUUGUUUUUUUUUUUUUUUAAAUACUAGACAGCAAAAAUUCAGGAUGCAAUCGGUUUAACAACACCCACAGACUGUUGUUAUGUUGACCCCUAAAGCAAACAGCUAAAAAUCCCUAGAAGCCAGCUCUGAAUUUUACAAUGCUACGUCGUAAGACUGCAUCUGGAUGACUGCUGACACAUUUAAUUGCCACAUAAGUGGCUAAAACCUGGUUUAGGUUCAGUCUAAUAUAGCAACCCUGCCUUCAUGUAUUUGUCAAUACUGUUCUGGACAAGUGACCCUGAUUAUUAAUCCACAUAAAACAAGAUUCUUGUAUUUUCAUAACUACAACAGACAAAGGUAUUUUAGCUCCUGCUAACACCUCACUACAGAAACCUGAUGCCAAGGCCGUACCACCGUAAUGAGAAAUUCUCAUUAAGGUUCCCACUGGGAGGACCAGUUUCCUCUGCUGCCAAUGAUAUUGGAUAGCUUAGCAGAUUCUUAUUCAAUCCUUUUUUUGUACACAAAGCAGAAAUGAAAACCGCACACACACUCAGGGAAGCUUAAAUAUUCCUCGAGUGACAGGCUGGAAAGCUAAUGUAGCUAUAAAUUAAAAAGGGCUGCAGAAGGGAAUGCCACUUUUCCAGACUAGCUACAUACCAUACCGUAACGAAACCUGUGUCCUGCAACAUGUGUGUCGUAUUCCCAUUGUGGAUACUUUUUUCUUUUUUAGUUGGCUUAUACAUACUUUUGUUUAAGUAGUGAGAAUUAAAAUGUGUGGCGUUAGGAAAGAUAAAUGAAGUAUGCUCUCAUUUCUACAGUUUGCAGGACAGGCGUUAUACCUGGCACACCUUCAGAUCUGCCGUGAAUGUCAAAGAAUCUCUCAAGUGUCAUGUCGGCAAGGAGCCCUGAGCUUGGAUGUGCAACGAGCCGUGAACUUGCACUGACACCGCCACAAACACUCACCAGAAAAAGGUGUUGGUCCCGUCGUCGUAGACUUCGCACUCUGUGUUUCUCCGGUGCAGACUCUCCCUGGAGGUCUGCUUCAUCACCUUGGCUUUAAUGGUUGUGCUCUGAUCCGGACACGCUGGAUCCACGGA